GAUGAAGAACGUAGCGAAAUGCGAUAAGUAGUGUGAAUUGCAGAAUUCAGUGAAUCAUCGAAUCUUUGAACGCACAUUGCGCCCCUUGGUAGUCCAUGGGGCAUGCCUGUUCGAGCGUCAUUUGUACCUUCAAGCUUUGCUUGGUGUUGGGUGUUUGUCUCGCCUUUGCGUGUAGACUCGCCUUAAAAUAAUUGGCAGCCGGCGUAUUGAUUUCGGAGCGCAGUACAUCUAGCGCUUUGCACUCAUAACGACAGCGUCCAAAAGUACAUUUUACACUCUUGACCUCGGAUCAGGUAGGGAUACCCGCUGAACUUAAGCAUAUCAAUAAGCGGAGGA
RNAcentral lists this unclassified non-coding RNA (336 nucleotides) under soil metagenome. RNAcentral's name for it is "partial contains 5.8S ribosomal RNA, internal transcribed spacer 2, and large subunit ribosomal RNA". The stretch from base 1 to 120 matches the Rfam family "5.8S ribosomal RNA", at positions 35 to 154 of the family's 154-position model. The record is from RNAcentral.